UUUAACUCCUUNCAGAGAACNUAGCAGAGAUGCUUUGGUGCCUUCGGGAACUCUGAGACAGGUGCUGCAUGGCUGUCGUCAGCUCGUGUUGUGAAAUGUUGGGUUAAGUCCCGCAACGAGCGCAACCCUUAUCCUUUGUUGCCAGCGGUUCGGCCGGGAACUCAAAGGAGACUGCCAGUGAUAAACUGGAGGAAGGUGGGGAUGACGUCAAGUCAUCAUGGCCCUUACGAGUAGGGCUACACACGUGCUACAAUGGCGCAUACAAAGAGAAGCGACCUCGCGAGAGCAAGCGGACCUCAUAAAGUGCGUCGUAGUCCGGAUUGGAGUCUGCAACUCGACUCCAUGAAGUCGGAAUCGCUAGUAAUCGUAGAUCAAAAUGCUACGGUGAAUACGUUCCCGGGCCUUGU
This 407-nucleotide ribosomal RNA is filed under the name uncultured bacterium. RNAcentral describes it as "bacterial SSU rRNA". It matches the Rfam family "Bacterial small subunit ribosomal RNA", at positions 978 to 1384 of the family's 1533-position model. The record is from RNAcentral.